Molecule: microRNA precursor, 408 nt
Filed under: Dimocarpus longan
Lineage: Eukaryota; Viridiplantae; Streptophyta; Magnoliopsida; Sapindales; Sapindaceae
Description: precursor microRNA MIR398b
Rfam family: MIR398 microRNA precursor family (bases 18-118)
Source: RNAcentral
AAUGCAAAACGAGGUAGAGAAAUCCUACAGGAGCGACCUGAGAUCACAUGUACCGGCCAGUGGCCUUGCCUCCAUUUGAGUCUCUCAUGUGUUCUCAGGUCGCCCCUGCGGGGCUUUUCUUUACCGUGUCAUGAUUCUUUGAUAUUGCAACCUUAACUUCCAGGUGAGUUUUGUUAUAUUUUCCUUGUCAAUGCUUGCUAGUUAUUAGUAAUAUAAAAUUCUUCACUGUCAUUUCCAUUUUAUUAAAGGGUGGUAGCACAGAAAACUUUCCUGUUCAAAUGGGAUGGCGCAGUGGUAGCAAUCAUACCUAUCUCCACUCCAAGUGGCAAGUUGAAGUGUAAUAAUGUCUCACUAUUUUUGUGUAAAAGAUUUGGGCAAAAAAAGAAAAAAAAAAAAAAAAAAAAAAAA